AUUGAACGCUGGCGGCAUGCCUUACACAUGCAAGUCGAGCGCGAAAGGGGGCAACCCCGAGUAGAGCGGCGGACGGGUGAGUAACGCAUCGGAACGUGCCCAGUAGUGGGGGACAACCUCGAGAAAUCGAGGCUAAUACCGCAUACGACCCACGGGUGAAAGCGGGGACCGCAAGGCCUCGCGCUAUUGGAGCGGCCGAUGUCCGAUUAGCUAGUUGGCGGGGUAAGAGCCCACCAAGGCGACGAUCGGUAGCUGGUCUGAGAGGACGACCAGCCACACUGGGACUGAGACACGGCCCAGACUCCUACGGGAGGCAGCAGGUGGGGAAUUUUGGACAAUGGGGGCAACCCUGAUCCAGCCAUGCCGCGUGCGGGAAGAAGGCCU
RNAcentral lists this ribosomal RNA (384 nucleotides) under uncultured bacterium. RNAcentral describes it as "bacterial SSU rRNA". It matches the Rfam family "Bacterial small subunit ribosomal RNA", at positions 29 to 417 of the family's 1533-position model. The record is from RNAcentral.